UCCACAGAAUUAGAGCACAAUCCACCGAAAACAUUUUGCGGUCCACAGGCAUGGUCCACGAUGGAAGAAAGUUUUCUUUGCACGAUCCAACGGUCCACAUUCAUCCCGACCCAGAUCGAAUGGCUGACAGUAUUUUCGAGUGUAAUAAGAAUUCCUAAGCAUGAUCUGAUAGCUCAGAUUCCAUCCAUCAUACGAUCCAAUGGCUGAGGAUGCUCCCGA
RNAcentral lists this long non-coding RNA (219 nucleotides) under Elaeis guineensis (African oil palm). RNAcentral's name for it is "long non-coding RNA (EGUI_LNC037820)". Lineage: Eukaryota; Viridiplantae; Streptophyta; Magnoliopsida; Arecales; Arecaceae. The record is from RNAcentral.